ACACCGCCCGUCGCUCCUACCGAUCGAGUGUUUAGAUGAACUUGACGGACUCACGGAAGUUAAGUAAAUCUGAUCACUUAGAGGAAGGAGAAGUCGUAACAAGGUUUCCGUAGGUGAACCUGCGGAAGGAUCAUUCCUGUAAACGCUGUUUUCUUUUAAGCUCAUCCAGCCUUCUGCUGUGUAAAUUGGUUAUUUUGCUUUGGAGAUGUCGGGUGCUGAGCCGAGGAAGGACGCAGUUAAACGCGAUAUUCAACCUGAAUCGCAAAACUGCUGAUGGUCGGGUGUCUGAAUGCUCAAAGCCGGGAACUAUUGAUCACGCCCAAAAUCAUCCAUUCAGUGUUGCAUUCCGCGUGAUUUGCAAUUUUCAAAAUAUUUUCACGUGAUCAAUAGUGGGCAAUGUAGUUAAUUUAAGCUUAUAAGUUAAUACACAAAGAAACUAAAAAGGAUGGACUGAGUAGUGGCGAAUGAAAAGUCCAAAGACCGAUCCGAAUUCAAGUUGUGGAUCCCAAAGGGCGGAAGACUCCAAAUUACCUGAAACGGUAGGCCCAAGAGAGUGAAAGCCUCUUUAGAGUCGGAAGUUCUU
This 583-nucleotide ribosomal RNA is filed under the name uncultured Mesodinium sp. RNAcentral's name for it is "eukaryotic LSU rRNA". The stretch from base 1 to 136 matches the Rfam family "Eukaryotic small subunit ribosomal RNA", at positions 1666 to 1831 of the family's 1831-position model. Lineage: Eukaryota; Ciliophora; Litostomatea; Cyclotrichida; Mesodiniidae. The record is from RNAcentral.